GGUUUGAGUAAUUUUACAAAUUCUCUGAUUGCAACUUGUUAAAUGGGAAUAUUUUCUAGUUUCUUCACUCCUCUGUGACAGUAAACUGAAUAUCUGUCAGUUGUGGACAAAACAUGACAUUUGAGGACAUCAUUUGGCUUUUGG
Long non-coding RNA from Etheostoma spectabile (orangethroat darter), 144 nucleotides. RefSeq lists it as uncharacterized. The transcript is spliced from 3 exons. The record is from RefSeq and is a predicted model, not a curated record. NCBI's taxonomy places the organism in Eukaryota, Metazoa, Chordata, Actinopteri, Perciformes, Percidae.